UUGGAUUUGGGUCACAACGCACUCCACUUGGAUAUCAAGUGCAUGACACUGUCUAAAGUGUAUGAGGUGAGAGAUAUGUAUAAACAUAUUGGUGGCAUCUAUCCUUUGAUGAUGAUUUGGCCUCCAACAUUCCGUGCGCUCAAGGGUGAUCUUGCAAGGUUUGCCUUGUGGCCCUCUAUAUGAUUUUUUUUUGAGUGAAGGCCAAAUAUGAUUUGCAUAGUGCUCUUGUUGAGGUUACAAAUCUUUGUAAUGUGCAUCAUGUUAAUAUCCUUUUCUAUGUUGUGGCAUGGUUUGGCCAUGUUCUUUAAAGUAGCUUUGGUCAAUUAGUGUGUCAUCCCAUCACAAUCGAGGAAACAAUUGCCAUUUCAUUUCUCCAUUGUUUUUGUUAAUGGUUCAGCAACCAUCCCACCAUUUAGUAUAUUCGCGGAAUGGUGGUAGAUAUAUAUGAUUGAUUCUUUAGGCCAUUUUACAUAUAUUUGUUAAGUGCCAUUUAAGAUGCUUUUCAUACCCUUAAGAUGGUUUUUAAACAGUAUCAUUUUGUAUGUGAGUAGUUGUUUUCUUGGGUUAGUGUAGCAGAGAAACUUCCGUAAUACGAGUGUUGCACCAGAGGAGAAUGGUGCCCUUUUAUGUGUGGGUGAGUGGUCAACGAGUUGAGGAUGAUAUUGUCGAUAUUCUAAGGGAAAUUAGAGAUGGUGAGGUUAUUCAUUGGAAGAAUCGAAAUUAAUUUCUUGCAUCUGCACUUUUCCUAUUCAUAAUAGAUUGUAUGAACUCGAGUUAUUCUGCAUGAGAUUGUUAACACUUAUUUCUAAUAGAAUGUUUUUGUGAUAUCGAAUCAGUUCUCCAUUUCUCUAUGGUGAAGCAUGCUGUUGCUCACACGGAUUUUAACUUUGGAUUAUGUAGUUUACACCGGCACAUAUGUGCUGGUUCAUGUUUUCAGAUUCAGAUACUAUCACAAUCAAGAUACUUUCGUCCUGCACACCAAGGGUAUACUCCAGUCUGAAAACACAGUUCUUGUGUGACCUGCUUUACCUUCCAUGAGCAGUAUUUGUUUCACUGUUCGGGCCAUCCAAAGAAAAAUUUGUUGGUUUGGGAUAGCAGAGCCUUUUAAUUAUCUGCAUUGCUUGAGCAAUUGUAUCAUUAUGCGCCGCACAAAAUUUGGCUGCUGUCGUACUACUACUUGUUUUGUCGAUUUUCAUUAUCUUGUGGUACAUAGUUACGUCCAUCCUGAUCAAUGCCUUUUCUGUUUUCCCUUUUUUGGAACAGAGAUGGCAUGUGAAGAACAGCCGUAUCAAGGAUGAGAAGGGAGUUGCUGGGUGGUAUCUACAUAUGUCAGUGAGAAUGUGAUCAUCAAGGAUGAGCUGAGCUACAUUUCCUGGUUACAUCAAUCACCUGGUCCAUCUUUUGACCUUCGGGCUUAAGUAGGGCAGUACAUUGGGUUAGUUAGUUUGUUCUUGCUUAAAUUGGAGACUCCUAAAGAGUCACACCCUGUGUUCAACUGCAAAAACAUUUUACAUUUAGGAACAGAGGUAGUAGUUCAGUGCCUUAUAUUCUUUUCUUUUGGAGUAAAAGUUGCUGCCUGUCUUGACGCUACUUGUCCUCCCAUUUAAAAUAAACUUCAACCGAAGGAAUCAAUUGACUGAAUUAUGC
RNAcentral lists this long non-coding RNA (1647 nucleotides) under Triticum aestivum (bread wheat). RNAcentral describes it as "long non-coding RNA (TAES_LNC009595)". The record is from RNAcentral. Lineage: Eukaryota; Viridiplantae; Streptophyta; Magnoliopsida; Poales; Poaceae.